AGAUUGAACGCUGGCGGCGUGCCUAACACAUGCAAGUCGAGCGGUAACAGGUGUAGCAAUACAUGCUGACGAGCGGCGAACGGGUGAGUAAUGCUUUGGAAUCUUCCCAGUAGUGGGGAAUAACCAGUCGAAAGAUUGGCUAAUACCGCAUACGUCUGUAAAGGGAAAGCGGGGGCUCGUAAGACCUCGCGCUAUUGGAUGAGCCAAAGUCGGAUUAGCUAGUUGGUGGGGUAAUGGCCUACCAAGGCGACAAUCCGUAGCUGGUCUGAGAGGACGACCAGCCGCACCGGAACUGAGACACGGUCCGGACUCCUACGGGAGGCAGCAGUGGGGAAUAUUGGACAAUGGGGGAAACCCUGAUCCAGCGACGCCGCGUGUGUGAAGAAGGCCUGCGGGUUGUAAAGCACUUUUAGUGGGGACAAAAGCUACGGAUUAAUACUCUGUGGUCUUGAUUUAACCCAAGAAAAGCACCGGCUAACUCUGCGCCAGCAGCCGCGGUAA
This 501-nucleotide ribosomal RNA is filed under the name uncultured bacterium. RNAcentral describes it as "SSU rRNA". It matches the Rfam family "Bacterial small subunit ribosomal RNA", at positions 26 to 523 of the family's 1533-position model. The record is from RNAcentral.